RNAcentral lists this ribosomal RNA (440 nucleotides) under uncultured Rhodospirillaceae bacterium. Its description in RNAcentral is "bacterial SSU rRNA". It matches the Rfam family "Bacterial small subunit ribosomal RNA", at positions 338 to 795 of the family's 1533-position model. Lineage: Bacteria; Pseudomonadati; Pseudomonadota; Alphaproteobacteria; Rhodospirillales; Rhodospirillaceae. The record is from RNAcentral.
CCUACGGGAGGCAGCAGUGGGGAAUAUUGGACAAUGGGGGCAACCCUGAUCCAGCCAUGCCGCGUGAGUGAUGAAGGCCUUCGGGUUGUAAAGCUCUUUUGGCGGGGACGAUGAUGACGGUACCCGCAGAAUAAGCCCCGGCUAACUUCGUGCCAGCAGCCGCGGUAAGACGAAGGGGGCUAGCGUUGUUCGGAAUUACUGGGCGUAAAGCGAGUGUAGGCGGUUGCCCAAGUCAGGUGUGAAAGCCUUGAGCUCAACUCAAGAAAUGCACUUGGUACUGGGUGGCUAGAGGACCGGAGAGGAUAGUGGAAUUCCCAGUGGAGUGGUGAAAUACGUAGAGAUUGGGAAGAACACCAGUGGCGAAGGCGGCUAUCUGGACGGUUACUGACGCUAAGACUCGAAAGCGUGGGGAGCAAACAGGAUUAGAUACCCUGGUAGUC